Molecule: non-coding RNA, 354 nt
Organism: Paramuricea clavata
Lineage: Eukaryota; Metazoa; Cnidaria; Anthozoa; Malacalcyonacea; Plexauridae
Source: the annotation of a GenBank genome assembly
AUUAAAAAUCUGCUAGAUUUUAGCAGAUCACGUGACCAGCGUCUACCAGGAUCUUUUCUCCGCAAGAGGAAAGACCCUGGGUACGAGGUUGGCGAUUCCAUUGAAUUUUCCCACUUUUUCCUCUUUCGCAGUGAGUACUAACUUCUACUUUUUCUACUCACUGGUGAAGCGAAUUUUUUUUCUCGCGAAGCCUAAUUUAUCUUUACUGCGCAUGUACGCAACUUCAUUUCGCGCGAACUACCUGAGCGCUGAUUGGUCGAGAAGCGUGUUACUUUCUAUAUGAAUUGUAAAGAAACACUGGAAAAUUUGCAGCCUCGCACCUCUUUUAAAUUUCAGUGAAAAUAUAAAACAAUA